UGGGGUAUAUUGCACAAUGGGCGCAAGCCUGAUGCAGCCAUGCCGCGUGUGUGAAGAAGGACUUCGGGUUGUAAAGCACUUUCAGCGGGGAGGAAGGCGAUAAGGUUAAUAACCUUGUCGAUUGACGUUACCCGCAGAAGAAGCACCGGCUAACUCCGUGCCAGCAGCCGCGGUAAUACGGAGGGUGCAAGCGUUAAUCGGAAUUACUGGGCGUAAAGCGCACGCAGGCGGUUUGUUAAGUCAGAUGUGAAAUCCCCGGGCUCAACCUGGGAACUGCAUCUGAUACUUGCAAGCUUGAGUCUCGUAGAGGGGGGUAGAAUUCCAGGUGUAGCGAUGAAAUGCGUAGAGAUCUGGAGGAAUACCGGUGGCGAAGGCGGCCCCCUGGACGAAGACUGACGCUCAGGUGCGAAAGCGUGGGGAGCAAACAGG
Molecule: ribosomal RNA, 429 nt
Filed under: Chloroflexota bacterium
Lineage: Bacteria; Bacillati; Chloroflexota
Description: Chloroflexi bacterium partial 16S ribosomal RNA
Rfam family: Bacterial small subunit ribosomal RNA
Source: RNAcentral